CUUUGACAUCCUCGAUGGGCGAGCCUGUGAGGAUGCACGAAAGAAGCUCCUCCUUGCCCAGGAGGAGCCUGGCAGGGAAGUCACAUUUGUCAGCGAGAUGCGCACAUCCAAGGCCUUCCGGCUGCAGCACGGGGGGAAUCGGGCCAUGGCAGUGUGCGGGCACUUCACGGCCCUGCACUGGUCAGCCUCCCCCUCUACCGCAGCCUUCCUGGCUCUCUGCACGCCGGUCACACGGUUGCCCACAGACAGCAAUGCUGGUUGCCAGGAUGACCUAUUCCAGAGCACGCAUGUCCUAGACAUGACGUUUAUUGAUGUCACGGAGAGGUGAGGGGUGCCUGCUCGCGCCACAGCCCCAGCUGUCCAUCUUGGGCAGCAAGGAUCAUUUCCCUUCACCAAGCCUCUGGGUGGGAUGUAGGCUGGACCCUGCACAAACACCAAGACUUUCCCAGACACUUCCCAAGCCUCUUCCCUCCCUUGUUUGAGUUUCUGUACCCCUGUUAUUUUGCUCUCUCCCUCACCAUGCUGCUCCUUGCUGACAUAGUUUAGACCCUGCAAAGCACUCAGCCCCCACUCCCCUUGUCUUCCCCAGCGUCACCUAUCACCUUGGCUACCGCAGGGAGGAACUGAUCGGUCAGUCGUGGUACGGCCUCCUGCACCCUGAGGACGCUGACCUAGCAGCUGCCCAGCACAGGGCCGUGGGUGAGUGUCAGGCCUGGGAACUUGCAUGUCUUUCUCUGGCUACACCUCAAACCCGGCUGGCCAGGACAACAGAAACAAAGUGAAUUUAGUCCUGCCCGCUGUGGCUCCCUGCUUCAAAAAGGACAAAGCACAGAGCACCCCGCGUGCUGUCUAUAAGGACACACAUUCCAAGCUCGAGAAUGCGGGCGCCCUGCUGUGCCACAGUGCAGAGAGGAGGGACAAGCCCGCCUGAGCCCCAGCAUUUUGAGGGGGCAGGACCGUUACAGCCCUGACUCCACCAUCUGUGGCUGCUGUCCCGCUGGGGCCGGAGCAGCAACCUGGCUACAGCACCCCUCGGGGCGGCCGAGGGGUCCGGAGGCAGCGUGCCGCUCUGCCCCGGCAAGCGGCCGCCGUGCCCCGCCGCCGGCUAACGCGGCCCCUUGCCCGCAGCGCUGGGGGCCGGGGCCGCAGCAGGGACGGCGGUGCUGCGAGUGCUGCGCAGAGACCGGGCCUGGGCCUGGCUCCGGGUGUCAGCGCGGCGGGACGGCGGGGGCCGCGCCAUCACCUGCACCAGCCACUGCCUCAGGUGAGGGUUCGAACGGGGAGGCGGGCCCAGCCGGGCCGGGCCGCGGCCCCGGGCCCCGGGCCGCCCCUCACCCCCGUCUCUGCCGCAGGGAGGAGGAGGCGG
Molecule: long non-coding RNA, 1366 nt
Filed under: Otus sunia (Oriental scops-owl)
Lineage: Eukaryota; Metazoa; Chordata; Aves; Strigiformes; Strigidae
Description: lncRNA (ENSOSUG00000010997.1)
Source: RNAcentral